This 73-nucleotide transfer RNA is filed under the name Pseudomonadota bacterium. RNAcentral describes it as "Proteobacteria bacterium (activated sludge metagenome) tRNA-Ile". It matches the Rfam family "tRNA". From Rfam's summary of the family: Transfer RNA (tRNA) molecules are approximately 80 nucleotides in length. Their secondary structure includes four short double-helical elements and three loops (D, anti-codon, and T loops). Further hydrogen bonds mediate the characteristic L-shaped molecular structure. tRNAs have two regions of fundamental functional importance: the anti-codon, which is responsible for specific mRNA codon recognition, and the 3' end, to which the tRNAs corresponding amino acid is attached (by aminoacyl-tRNA synthetases). tRNAs cope with the degeneracy of the genetic code in two manners: having more than one tRNA (with a specific anti-codon) for a particular amino acid; and 'wobble' base-pairing, i.e. permitting non-standard base-pairing at the 3rd anti-codon position. The record is from RNAcentral. Lineage: Bacteria; Pseudomonadati; Pseudomonadota.
GGGCCUAUAGCUCAAUGGUCAGAGCAGGGGACUCAUAAUCCCUUGGUUUCAGGUUCGAGUCCUGAUGGGCCCA